AGGGUAGCAAUAUCCUGAGUACACCGGCGCACGGGUGAGUAACACGUAGGCAAUCUGCCUUUAGGACGGGGACAACCCCGAGAAAUCGGGGCUAAUACCCGAUAAUGCAGCGGCACCGCAUGGUGAUGUUGUUAAAGGCCCGCAAGGGCGCCUAUUGAUGAGCCUGCGUCCCAUUAGGUAGUUGGCGGGGUAAAAGCCCACCAAGCCGACGAUGGGUAGCUGGUCUGAGAGGAUGAUCAGCCACACUGGAACUGAGACACGGUCCAGACUCCUACGGGAGGCAGCAGUGAGGAAUAUUGCGCAAUGGCCGAAAGGCUGACGCAGCGACGCCGCGUGAAGGAUGAAGUCCGUUAGGAUGUAAACUUCUUUUGCGAGGGAUGAAUGUUCCGCCUUGUGCGGACUUGACCGUACCUCGCGAAUAAGGGUCGGCCAACUACGUGCCAGCAGCCGCGGUAAUACGUAGGACCCGAGCGUUGUCCGGAAUUACUGGGUGUAAAGGGCGUGUAGGUGGGUCUCUCAGUCGGUGGUGAAAUCCUGCGGCUUAACUGCAGAACUGCCUCCGAUACUGGAGAUCUUGAGUGCGGCAGAGGGAGAUGGAAUUCAUGGUGUAGCGGUGAA
RNAcentral lists this ribosomal RNA (618 nucleotides) under uncultured bacterium. Its description in RNAcentral is "bacterial SSU rRNA". It matches the Rfam family "Bacterial small subunit ribosomal RNA", at positions 73 to 685 of the family's 1533-position model. The record is from RNAcentral.